AUUGAACGCUGGCGGCAUGGCUAAAACAUGCAAGUCGAACGAUCCCUUCGGGGAGAGUGGCGAAAGGGCGAGGAAUAGAAUCGAAUGUACCCCAAGGUGGGGGAUAGCCUCUGGAAACGGAGGGUAAUAUCCCAUGUGCUCUACGGAGGAAAGGUUUACCGCCUUGGGAGCAGCGAUUCUCCUAUCAGGUAGUUGGUGAGGUAACGGCUCACCAAGCCGAAGACGGGUAGCGGGUGUGAGAGCAUGACCCGCCGCAUCGGGACUGAGACACUGCCCGGACUCCUACGGGAGGCUGCAGUAACGAAUCUUCCGCAAUGGGCGAAAGCCUGACGGAGCAAUGCCGCGUGUGGGAUGAAGCAUCUUCGAUGUGUAAACCACUGUCAGGGUCUAGGAAUACUGACCAGACCCAAAGGAAGGGCCGGCUAAUUCCGUGCCAGCAGCCGCGGUAAAGUC
Molecule: ribosomal RNA, 453 nt
Filed under: uncultured bacterium
Lineage: Bacteria
Description: bacterial SSU rRNA
Rfam family: Bacterial small subunit ribosomal RNA
Source: RNAcentral